AAAAUAUGAAAUAUAAAUUUUGGGGUUUUGGGUUUCGCUUUUCUUGACUCACCCUGUAUAUCUUUGGUACAGCUGCUGAGAAUUUUGAAAGUUAAUGGGCCACAGCCCCAUAUUGACUAAUACACCUUGUUUGCAAUACUUUGUGAAUUAUUCAUAUCUUUCCUGCCAGGGUUACGGGAAACUCCACCUACAUCUCUGAGAGUGUUGAAGGUCAGACGAGGGUGUUGUCACUCAUCAGUGGGCCACACCCUCUUAGUGUCAUCAAUAAUUUGAAUAUACCUGGUAUUGUGAUGCUAUAUGAAUAAUUCAUAUUUUUCUUCCAGUGUUGCUGGUCAAACUCUGCCUACAUCUUUGGUACAAUCGCUGAUACUGAUAGUUCUGAAGGUCAGACAAGAGUGUUGUCACUCAUCAAUGGGCCACACCCCCAUAAUGCCCUGGCUGAUUUGACCGACAGUAUUUUAUUGAUGAUUAGUGAAUAAUUCAUAUUUUUCUUCCAGUGUCGCUGGUCAAACUCUGCCUACAUCUUUGGUACAAUCACUGAUACUGAUAGGUCUGAAGGUCAGACAAGAGUGUUGUCACUCAUCAAUGGGCCACACCCCCAUAAUGCCCUGGCUGAUUUGACUAAUGGUAUUUUAUUGAUGAUUAAUGAA
This is a long non-coding RNA of Patiria miniata (bat star), 650 nucleotides long. RefSeq lists it as uncharacterized. The record is from RefSeq and is a predicted model, not a curated record. The transcript is spliced from 2 exons. NCBI's taxonomy places the organism in Eukaryota, Metazoa, Echinodermata, Asteroidea, Valvatida, Asterinidae.